AGCAGUAGGGAAUCUUCCACAAUGGGCGCAAGCCUGAUGGAGCAACACCGCGUGAGUGAAGAAGGGUUUCGGCUCGUAAAGCUCUGUUGUUGGAGAAGAACGUGCGUGAGAGUAACUGUUCACGCAGUGACGGUAUCCAACCAGAAAGUCACGGCUAACUACGUGCCAGCAGCCGCGGUAAUACGUAGGUGGCAAGCGUUAUCCGGAUUUAUUGGGCGUAAAGCGAGCGCAGGCGGUUGCUUAGGUCUGAUGUGAAAGCCUUCGGCUUAACCGAAGAAGUGCAUCGGAAACCGGGCGACUUGAGUGCAGAAGAGGACAGUGGAACUCCAUGUGUAGCGGUGGAAUGCGUAGAUAUAUGGAAGAACACCAGUGGCGAAGGCGGCUGUCUGGUCUGCAACUGACGCUGAGGCUCGAAAGCAUGGGUAGCGAACAGGAUUAGAUACCCUGGUAGUCCAUGCCGUAAACGAUGAGUGCUAGGUGUUGGAGGGUUUCCGCCCUUCAGUGCCGGAGCUAACGCAUUAAGCACUCCGCCUGGGGAGUACGACCGCAAGGUUGAAUCUCAAAGGAAUUGACGGGGGCCCGCACAAGCGGUGGAGCAUGUGGUUUAAUUCGAAGCUACGCGAAGAACCUUACCAGGUCUUGACAUCUUGCGCUAACCUUAGAGAUAAGGCGUUCCCUUCGGGGACGCAAUGACAGGUGGUGCAUGGUCGUCGUCAGCUCGUGUCGUGAGAUGUUGGGUUAAGUCCCGCAACGAGCGCAACCCUUGUUACUAGUUGCCAGCAUUAAGUUGGGCACUCUAGUGAGACUGCCGGUGACAAACCGGAGGAAGGUGGGGACGACGUCAGAUCAUCAUGCCCCUUAUGACCUGGGCUACACACGUGCUACAAUGGACGGUACAACGAGUCGCAAGCUCGCGAGAGUAAGCUAAUCUCUUAAAGCCGUUCUCAGUUCGGACUGUAGGCUGCAACUCGCCUACACGAAGUCGGAAUCGCUAGUAAUCGCGGAUCAGCAUGCCGCGGUGAAUACGUUCCCGGGCCUUGUACACACCGCCCGUC
Molecule: ribosomal RNA, 1055 nt
Filed under: uncultured Lactobacillus sp.
Lineage: Bacteria; Bacillati; Bacillota; Bacilli; Lactobacillales; Lactobacillaceae
Description: bacterial SSU rRNA
Rfam family: Bacterial small subunit ribosomal RNA
Source: RNAcentral